Non-coding RNA from Myotis brandtii (Brandt's bat), 72 nucleotides. The record is from Rfam. Lineage: Eukaryota; Metazoa; Chordata; Mammalia; Chiroptera; Vespertilionidae.
GCCAGUGUGGCUCAGUGGUAGAGCAUUGUCCUGUGGACCAAAGGGUCCCGGGUUCAAUUCUGGGCAAGGGCA